AACGAACGCUGGCGGCAGGCUUAACACAUGCAAGUCGAACGCCCGUAGCAAUACGGGAGUGGCGGACGGGUGAGUAACGCGUGGGAACGUACCCUGAGGUACGGAAUAACCGAGGGAAACUUCGGCUAAUACCGUAUGAGCCCCGCAAGGGGGAAAGAUUUAUCGCCUUGGGAGCGGCCCGCGUCGGAUUAGCUAGUUGGUGGGGUAACGGCCUACCAAGGCUUCGAUCCGUAGCUGGUCUGAGAGGACGAUCAGCCACACUGGGACUGAGACACGGCCCAGACUCCUACGGGAGGCAGCAGUGGGGAAUCUUGCGCAAUGGGGGGCAACCCUGACGCAGCCAUGCCGCGUGAACGAUGAAGGCCUUAGGGUUGUAAAGUUCUUUUACCCGUGACGAUGAUGACGGUAACGGGGGAAUAAGCUCCGGCUAACUUCGUG
RNAcentral lists this ribosomal RNA (438 nucleotides) under uncultured bacterium. RNAcentral describes it as "bacterial SSU rRNA". It matches the Rfam family "Bacterial small subunit ribosomal RNA", at positions 29 to 507 of the family's 1533-position model. The record is from RNAcentral.